RNAcentral lists this ribosomal RNA (240 nucleotides) under uncultured bacterium. RNAcentral describes it as "partial 16S ribosomal RNA". It matches the Rfam family "Bacterial small subunit ribosomal RNA", at positions 109 to 334 of the family's 1533-position model. The record is from RNAcentral.
AGUAACACGUAGGUAAUCUACCUUUGGGUGGGGAAUAACAACCGGAAACGGUUGCUAAUACCGCAUAAUGCAGCGGCACCACAUGGUGACAGUUGUUAACGCGGGGGAUCGCAAGACCUCGCGCCUAAAGGGGAGCCUGCGGCGGAUUAGCUAGUUGGUAGGGUAACGGCCUACCAAGGCAACGAUCCGUAGCCGGCCUGAGAGGGCGGUCGGCCACACUGACACUGAAAUACGGGUCAG